CUCACCAUUGUUUGAGACAGCCAGGCAGCUCUGUCCCUUAAUAAAGCCCUGCUUUGGGUGUUCGUGUUUUGGCUCAUUUUAUUUCUCUCACUUGGGAUCUUGUGCUUGUGAGGCAGGCACCAGAAUCACUGAGCUAAAUCCCCGGCUCCAAGGUCUUUCCCAGAGCAAAAGCCAUGUUUUAUGGAGAGAUGGAUAUUCUGUCUUGGCUCCAAUGGAGACAUUUUCCACCCUUCCCCACUGUGCUGUCUGCCCUUUACAGGAUGCACCAACAGAGUUUUCUUGCCCCCUGGCUUAGUUGAGCUGGGAGGCCUUGGCUGGAAUGAGAGAAGGGUCGGGUGUUUUCCCCUCGCUUGCUCCUUCACAAGGCGGUUUGGUAAUGGUGCUUGGCUCUGCCUACCAAACACCAUUGGCUCCAUAACCCAGCUCUCUUAUGCAGGUGCAGCUCUUGCUGGGAUGAUAGCAGUUUCCUGCUGGUGCCCAUUCCAGGGAGCUGUGCCAUUCUUCACUGGUGCCUGCUAUAACUCUGACUGAAAUUUUACCAGUAGCCUCAUCAAUAACUGAAUCAUCUGCCUCCUGACACCAUCCUGGCUCUGACACCCGUCAUCUGGCCUGGUCCUUCUCAGAGGCGGCAGGAGGCCUUGGGGAGGUCUCCUUUCCAAGGAGCUUGAUGCAUUUGGAGCUAAGCCACUGGCCCUUGGCUCACUUUGGGAUGCUGGAUGAUGCCCAGGAUUUGCCUAGCUCUCUUCAGUGUUGUCAGAGGUGUAUGGAUGCGUGGGAAAAGACACAGUUUAUAAAGGGCUCAGUUCCACCGAUCAUUUCAGGCCUAUCCUCCGGAUCUACUCUAUAUGAGGAAGAAAAGGAACUUAAACUAGCACUCUACGCUCUGUACUCCCUCCCCAGUGCUGAGAAAAUGCAGAUAAAAGACCAAAACUAAUCUUCUUUUGGUUGCCAAACAAUAUUUUCGUGACUAAGAACCCCUGCCUGUGCUGAGAGCGGACCACGUAAUGCCCAGCUUCAACAAAGAUGUGUGCAGUCAGCAGCAACCUCUGUCUCUCCUCCCCAGCUGCUGCUGCCCCCAUUCCUGCCCACCACACUGCCCUGAGCUCUGGAGCUGAUUCCCAUUGAUCUUCCAACUGCCAAAGUCAGUGAACACUUCCAGCCCUUCUCUUAUGUAACCUCUCUACAGCAUCUGUCUGUUGCCAAUUCUAGGUUCUUAGAGCUAGAAAAUAACAGUACAAGGAUUUAAGUGUGGACCUAUUCGAUUCUGAAGCUCUUUUGUUAUUGUUAUUUAAUGAGUAUUACGUAUUACAUAAGAUAAUUAUCUUAUUAGUAUGUAAUUAAUAAAUUAUUAUUUAUAAGUAUUAUGUCAGCGGUUUCAGCCUUCUGAUAUAAAAAUCCCAAACUUUUUAGAGGCACUGAUAUGAGGCUGUCAAAUGUGUGUGUGUGUGUGUGUGUGUGUGUGUGUGUGUGUGUGUACGUGUGCCCGUGUAGUUGUUAGGCCAUUUUAAAAAAUGCCCAACUACAAUAUAUCAUCAUUAUCAUUCAUUUUUGUUUUAAAAUUCCCCAAUGUACUGAUAUGAAAGUACCUCCUUACUGUGUUGUUAAGCAAGAUGCUAUUUGCUGUAUUAAAAAUUAAUUUUUACAAAUAUAUCUGCUGGCAUUACAGCACUUUUUUUGGUAGAAUUAGAAAUCAGCAACAGUUUAGGGUUGGGAACCAGAAGUGUGGAGUGGGAGGGAGACUUCCUACAUAGUCAGUGCAGGAGGAAUUGCACAUUCUGAAUUUUGUGCAAGGAGUAUCGUCUAUUAACUAUUUCAAAAAUACAUUAAUUUAAAAUAAAUCUUUAGAGCAAAGCACUAUGGCAUACCCCUGUAAUCCUGGUUACUUGGGGCGGGGGGCAGGGCGAGACAGGAGGAUCACAAGUUAGAGGCAAGCCUGGGCAAUUUAGCAAGACCCUAAAGGGAAAAGGAUGGGAAUGUAGCUCCGGGGUAGAGGAGUGCUUGCAUAGUAUGUAUGAGGCCCCAUUCAAUCCCCAGGACAAUAAAUAAAUAAAUCUCUAAAAGAAAAGUAUUAAUACCCCCAGAAACAUGUUUAAUAUAAUCACAACAUAAUUUGAGUAAGUUUGAUUUUACUCUUAUUUUUCUCUUUUUGACCUGCCCCGGUGAGAACUCUCUUGGGGCCUGACAAUAGUCUCAGGCUGACCCCAAUGGCAUACCUGGCUCUCACUAACCACAUGCAGAUGCAUGCUGGCUGCUUCCUAAAGAAUUCCUGUGCCCACAGGCAGGAGCAGCCCUUGUGACGGUCCCUUCCAGGUGCUCAAAAUUCCAAACAAUUUUCCUAGCAUUACAGCAUAAAUAGGGGAGUUGAAUCUGGCUGGGGUCAGUGGCCUAAGAUGAGAAGCCUGGUUUUGAGCAGUUCUUACCCUAAUGCAAGUUCUUUAACUGCAUUGAAUCUCAAAUCAUGUGAGCAGUUAGUGGAUUAGACUAGCACCCUCCUACAGACUGUCUCAAAAUAUGCAUUUUGAACAAAUGUCCUGGGCUUUCUGAUGCCUUUGGAGCAGCUCUAAGAAACUUAAAAAAUAGCUUGGAAUGUGUAGUGAGCUACACAGAUAGACUAAGGAUCAUGACUGAGCUUUAAUAAGAAUUUGAGCUUUUUCUGGGGCGGGGGGAAAAGAGGCCGUGGGAUCAACGAGAGUCAAAGUCAAAUAGAAUAAUUCCCCUCCCCCGCCACACCAGGGGUCACACAGGAUGUGUCUCAGAUGGAGUCCACUAACACAAACAGGAUCUGGAGAGAAAUAGCAAUUCUUCCUUUUCACUCUGAACCUCAGUCCGACCAGUUCCGGAAACAGUCCUGAUUAGAGCAUAAUUGAUUUGGACUCCACUAGCAGAGCAGCCAGGCCUGCAUCCCGCCUUCUCACGCUGAGCAAGCUGUGCUGUAUCAUCUGACUCCUUAUUGCAUUAAAAGCAAUAUGAUAUGACAUGUGCUGGUUUUCUAACAACAUUUGCAAACGAAGAAAGAUUAUAUAGUCCUUGGCUGUGCCAACCAUACUGUAGAGAAAGGGUGGGACAUUUCUAUCCAGGCCCCAUUGACAGCAAACAAGCCUG
Molecule: long non-coding RNA, 3102 nt
Organism: Heterocephalus glaber (naked mole-rat)
Lineage: Eukaryota; Metazoa; Chordata; Mammalia; Rodentia; Bathyergidae
Source: Ensembl